RNAcentral lists this ribosomal RNA (467 nucleotides) under uncultured bacterium. Its description in RNAcentral is "partial 16S ribosomal RNA". It matches the Rfam family "Bacterial small subunit ribosomal RNA", at positions 29 to 507 of the family's 1533-position model. The record is from RNAcentral.
ACGAACGCUGGCGGCGUGCUUAACCCAUGCUAGUCGAACGGAAAGGCCCUGCUUUUGUGGGGUGCUCGAGUGGCGAACGGGUGAGUAACACGUGAGUAACCUGCCCUUGACUUUGGGAUAACUUCAGGAAACUGGGGCUAAUACCGGAUAGGAGCUCCUGCUGCAUGGUGGGGGUUGGAAAGUUUCGGCGGUUGGGGAUGGACUCGCGGCUUAUCAGCUUGUUGGUGGGGUAGUGGCUUACCAAGGCUUUGACGGGUAGCCGGCCUGAGAGGGUGACCGGCCACAUUGGGACUGAGAUACGGCCCAAACUCCUACGGGAGGCAGCAGUGGGGAAUAUUGCACAAUGGGCGGAAGCCUGAUGCAGCAACGCCGCGUGCGGGAUGACGGCCUUCGGGUUGUAAACCGCUUUCGCCUGUGACGAAGCGUGAGUGACGGUAAUGGGUAAAGAAGCACCGGCUAACUACGUG